AAAAGUUCGUUCAGAUUUUUCU
RNAcentral lists this microRNA (22 nucleotides) under Bos taurus (domestic cattle). RNAcentral's name for it is "bta-miR-2285db". Lineage: Eukaryota; Metazoa; Chordata; Mammalia; Artiodactyla; Bovidae. The record is from miRBase by way of RNAcentral.